GAUGAACGCUGGCGGCGUGCCUAAUACAUGCAAGUCGAGCGAACGGACGAGAAGCUUGCUUCUCUGAUGUUAGCGGCGGACGGGUGAGUAACACGUGGAUAACCUACCUAUAAGACUGGGAUAACUUCGGGAAACCGUAACUAAUACCGGAUAAUAUUUUGAACCGCAUGGUUCAAAAGUGAAAGACGGUCUUGCUGUCACUUAUAGAUGGAUCCGCGCUGCAUUAGCUAGUUGGUAAGGUAACGGCUUACCAAGGCAACGAUGCAUAGCCGACCUGAGAGGGUGAUCGGCCACACUGGAGCUGAGACACGGUCCAGACUCCUACGGGAGGCAGCAGUAGGGAAUCUUCCGCAAUGGGCGAAAGCCUGACGGAGCAACGCCGCGUGAGUGAUGAAGGUCUUCGGAUCGUAAAACUCUGUUAUUAGGGAAGAACAUAUGUGUAAGUAACUGUGCACAUCUUGACGGUACCUAAUCAGAAAGCCACGGCUAACUACGUG
RNAcentral lists this ribosomal RNA (497 nucleotides) under uncultured bacterium. Its description in RNAcentral is "partial 16S ribosomal RNA". It matches the Rfam family "Bacterial small subunit ribosomal RNA", at positions 28 to 507 of the family's 1533-position model. The record is from RNAcentral.